AUACGGAGGGUGCAAGCGUUAUCCGGAAUCAUUGGGUUUAAAGGGUCCGCAGGCGGAUUAAUAAGUCAGUGGUGAAAUCCUCUCGCUCAACGAGAGAACUGCCAUUGAAACUGUUAGUCUUGAAUUCGGUCGAAGUAGGCGGAAUGUGUCAUGUAGCGGUGAAAUGCAUAGACAUGUCACAGAACACCGAUAGCGAAGGCAGCUUACUAGACCUGGAUUGACGCUCAUGGACGAAAGCGUGGGGAGCGAACAGGAUUAGAAACCCUAGUAGUCC
Molecule: ribosomal RNA, 274 nt
Filed under: uncultured bacterium
Lineage: Bacteria
Description: partial 16S ribosomal RNA
Rfam family: Bacterial small subunit ribosomal RNA
Source: RNAcentral